AAAUGCAUGAACUCGCUGCACACUAGGGCCACGGAAGCUGAAAAUUCCCUUUCUCCCCCGGGAGGGGAUAUCGGUGCAAGGGAAACAAAACAAAACACACCUCCUGUGAAAAAAUAAGAAUCCGGGAUCUCUGCAAGUUGUUCCUGGCAAAGUUCUUUUGGUGGCUGGUGGUAGAAAUCCACGUCAAGCGGAGUUUGGUGAAGGAGGGGCAGGGACCUCGCUGGAAGGAUAUGAAGGUGUCUCAUGGGGCCAGGUUUGUGGGCCUCCGAAGGACCUGGAACUGAGCCCUGGAAAGGAGAGAGAAGCAGGAGAAGCAGCUCCCCACGUCUGCUGGCUGCCAGCUCAUCCCCAAGUUCACAGCCUCAGGGGCACAUGGCGGGAGGGGAGCAGGAGGUUGGCGCAGGCCCUUUUGGCUCUGGACCACACCGCCUGUAGUGCACCAUGAAUUAAUAUUUUUAAUAAAUCCUGUAAUUAUCUUGUGAACAGAACAUAUGCGUGGCACUUUAUUUUUUGGGUUCAAAGCACUAAUUUGUCCAAUAUAAACAUUAAAAAAUAUACCAUCAUUUUUGUAACCUUGUUUCUUUAUUUCUUAAUGUACCAGGAGACUUAUAAAAUAGAAAUGAGCUCCAAGGCCCCAACUAAGGGGUGCGCUCUGCUCUGGGUGGCCACCCCCAGCGGCCAGCUCUCAGACCCAGUUCUGAAGGUCUGGGAGAGAGAUUCUGCCCUGCUCCUCGUGGGCCAGAGGUUCACCCCAGCACCAUCAAUUGCAAGACUGCCAGCUCCUUUAUGGCAUAGAAGGGGUCAAAAGGGGUCAUCAGAGGCGGGGCAGCGUACCUACUGCACUAUCGUCUUUGUGAGCUCACUCUGUGCAGAUGCCCAGCUGUUACAAGUCUCCAUCCGGGCAAGCAGAGGACCCCAAGGACAGUGGAAUGGAGGAGGGAGCUCACCUUUCCUAAGAUUUUAUUUACUUGACAGAGAGAGACACAGUGAGAGAGGGAACACAAACAAGAGGAGUGGGAGAGGGAGAAGCAGGCUCCCCGCCGAGCAGGAAGCCCGAUGA
RNAcentral lists this long non-coding RNA (1060 nucleotides) under Mustela putorius furo (domestic ferret). Its description in RNAcentral is "lncRNA (ENSMPUG00000031719.1)". The record is from RNAcentral. Lineage: Eukaryota; Metazoa; Chordata; Mammalia; Carnivora; Mustelidae.